CAGCAUUUGCAAUGUUGGCAGAUAAGGUGUUAUGGGUAAAGACAAAAAUUAAAAAGAUUUCCAGAUAAAUUAUUUGUUUCACUAAGGCAAAACUUGGUUAAAAUUUGUUUCACUGAACACAUAUUGUAGCUGUGCUAGGGUGGGAAUGGGCCCCAUUUCCACAUAUUUCUACUAAUCUUUAUGUGGGAAAAUGUGGUUGGACAUGCCAGUGAUGAAUUUCUGAGCAACUCAUAAUUGGCUGGCUUCACUGUAACUAGGGCCUAACAAUCUGCUUGAUUAAUUCUUUAAGGACUACAUUAGCCAAGUUGCAUGAUUUCCAAAGAUAUAGAAGG
RNAcentral lists this long non-coding RNA (332 nucleotides) under Bos taurus (domestic cattle). RNAcentral's name for it is "long non-coding RNA NONBTAT018179". The record is from RNAcentral. Lineage: Eukaryota; Metazoa; Chordata; Mammalia; Artiodactyla; Bovidae.